RNAcentral lists this ribosomal RNA (465 nucleotides) under Vreelandella stevensii. RNAcentral describes it as "partial 16S ribosomal RNA". It matches the Rfam family "Bacterial small subunit ribosomal RNA", at positions 338 to 795 of the family's 1533-position model. Lineage: Bacteria; Pseudomonadati; Pseudomonadota; Gammaproteobacteria; Oceanospirillales; Halomonadaceae. The record is from RNAcentral.
CCUACGGGAGGCUGCAGUGGGGAAUAUUGGACAAUGGGGGGAACCCUGAUCCAGCCAUGCCGCGUGUGUGAAGAAGGCCCUCGGGUUGUAAAGCACUUUCAGUGAGGAAGAACGCCUGGUGGUUAAUACCCAUCAGGAAAGACAUCACUCACAGAAGAAGCACCGGCUAACUCCGUGCCAGCAGCCGCGGUAAUACGGACGGUGCGAGCGUUAAUCGGAAUUACUGGGCGUAAAGCGCGCGUAGGUGGCUUGAUAAGCCGGUUGUGAAAGCCCCGGGCUCAACCUGGGAACGGCAUCCGGAACUGUCAAGCUAGAGUGCAGGAGAGGAAGGUAGAAUUCCCGGUGUAGCGGUGAAAUGCGUAGAGAUCGGGAGGAAUACCAGUGGCGAAGGCGGCCUUCUGGACUGACACUGACACUGAGGUGCGAAAGCGUGGGUAGCAAACAGGAUUAGAUACCCCUGUAGUC